RNAcentral lists this ribosomal RNA (468 nucleotides) under uncultured bacterium. RNAcentral describes it as "partial 16S ribosomal RNA". It matches the Rfam family "Bacterial small subunit ribosomal RNA", at positions 28 to 507 of the family's 1533-position model. The record is from RNAcentral.
GACGAACGCUGGCGGCGUGCUUAACACAUGCAAGUCGAACGGAAAGGCCCGGCUUUUGUGGGGUGCUCGAGUGGCGAACGGGUGAGUAACACGUGAGUAACCUGCCCUUGACUUUGGGAUAACUUCAGGAAACUGGGGCUAAUACCGGAUAGGAGCUCCUGCUGCAUGGGGGGGGUUGGAAAGUUUCGGCGGUUGGGGAUGGACUCGCGGCUUAUCAGCUUGUUGGUGGGGUAGUGGCUUACCAAGGCUUUGACGGGUAGCCGGCCUGAGAGGGUGACCGGCCACAUUGGGACUGAGAUACGGCCCAGACUCCUACGGGAGGCAGCAGUGGGGAAUAUUGCACAAUGGGCGGAAGCCUGAUGCAGCAACGCCGCGUGCGGGAUGACGGCCUUCGGGUUGUAAACCGCUUUCGCCUGUGACGAAGCGUGAGUGACGGUAAUGGGUAAAGAAGCACCGGCUAACUACGUG